Molecule: long non-coding RNA, 2085 nt
Filed under: Triticum aestivum (bread wheat)
Lineage: Eukaryota; Viridiplantae; Streptophyta; Magnoliopsida; Poales; Poaceae
Description: long non-coding RNA (TAES_LNC001096)
Source: RNAcentral
GACAACAUCUCCGUGGGCGCCUCCGGUGCGCUCUUCGGACUUUCUUAUCGUGCUAAUUGCAAAGUGUUAGACUGAAUGACUUAAAUGGAGUGUCUGCUGCUGGUUGGCUGCCUGGAUGCUGCUGCUGCUACUGUCAAUUUACUCUGGAACGAUUUCUACCUUGACAGUGUAAGUACAUGCAUUGUUUGACUAUUUGCAGAAGCCUUUCUUCUAGGGCCUAAGACCUGAGCUUUCGUGCUGGCCCCCAAAUUUUUCUUAGGGACGACCCUGCAGCAAUGGAGGAGCAUUCUUCUUCUGCUCACAGUCUUCAACAAAGGCCCCCUCCACCGCCAUUGUCAGCGAGAGGUACAGGACUGCACAAUCAUUUGCGCACACCUUGUAGAAGAGAAAUCUGCACAUAGCAUCAACUGCCGUUACUUGAGAGUAUAACAUGCAAAGUUUAAAUAGAGGGCUACUGCAAAUAGCGACAGUAGCAUUUGCGUGCUAAGUUUGUGCUAAGUGGCUUAGCAUGAUGCCCCUCCAAUUACUAUAGUGCUGCUAUAGUGUCGAGACAGCAUGCUAUUCAAAACUUUAAUAAUAUGUCAUAUGCACCGUAUCCUAAAUUUAUAUCUCCACAAUCAUGUGAAAAUAAAUAAACACUACUAUCUAUUUAAAAGUUAAUUCUAUUGGGUAGGGAGGAGCAAUGAUUGCAGCUGGGUAUCAAUUUCAUACUUGUCAGUAAAGCUGCUGCCACUUGUAAGGCACAUGCAUGCUGCGUGUCUUGCCGCAGUUGCAGCCAUGCUAAUCUUUCCCUGUGUCUCCUAAAAAUGCAUGCAAGGACAAAAUUAUUAGAAAAUGGACGACCUCCAGGUAAUAUGUUAACUCAUAUUGCCACCUAGGAAAAGAUUAGAAUUAAAAUCCAACAGAUAUAUUGGAGAUGGAGACCAACUCUUACUAACCUUUCUUUGUUAUAAUUAUUGAGAAUCGCCUACAGAGAUAAGAAUUUGCACGUGGCAUCUUCUAAAAUAACCUACACACUGCACCACAACUACUGUAACUUAGUGAGUAUAUAUAAAAUAAUAUAUAGGAUUCAUCUGCAGCAAUAACAAUUUCCACACAACAUUCUGUAGAAACAAAUCUUCAAACAACAUUUGCUAUCGUUACUUGAGAGUAAAAGAUGGCACUGUAUCCUAAAUUCAGUUCGUUUAUCGCCCCUUCCAAGUAUAUGUUGUUACCUACUUAGCUCUAAAAUAGAAUCAUCCCCUGUUUCAACUAUUUAUUCUAGGAACCUCCCUUCUGAAUCAUUCUUUUACUAUGGCAAUGAAUUUUAUCUAUGUGAGAUUAGAAUUUGAGUGCCAUCAUUCGUCUCUUGUUAUCUUGUUCUCUGUGAUAACUGUUCAUUGUUGAGUGCUAUAUAUAUACUCUAGUUGUCUUGUUGUGCUUGUUGUUCCAUAUUUUGCUGAUGCACCGAUAGCUGUUAAGAACUGUAGUAGUGUAGUUAAUUUUUUGAAUGAUUUGGUGUGCAUGGAACAUUGAUUUUUCACUGUCCAAGUCAUGAUUUUUCUCAACUGGUGCAUGUAUAUAUUUGGGUGCUAGUCAAUUAGAGAAUGUCUGGGAUACCAUGUCUGUACUAUGUGCCAGUGUAGCUGUACUGAUGCUUUGGGUUUCAUCCGUGCAGCAGAGGACAAGGGCUUCAUGGCCAACCAAGGCGCAUAGUGCUCGCAAGCGACGAAUGGAGGUUGUUCGACAUAGACACGGAGGAGGAGGAGGACGGGCACGGACGGAGGAGGACAGAGCACCUCUCUUCUUCCAAGUUCUUCUCCUUACCUUCACUUCUUGUAUAGUUGUCUGUCAACGGUUAGUGCCAGCAGCAAAAUUCAGUUAUGCAGAAGCACCAUUUAGCAGCAGCAUAGAUAUAUAGCAUUCAUUUAGCGGCAAAAAAUUUCAGUUCAUUUUACUCACCGCUCUCUUUGGCAUUUACAGUCUUGGACUCUCUGACUGCUCCUCCUCUAGCCAAUGGUGAAGCGCCCGACGAGGCCAGCAGCAAGGCAACGCGGCGGGAUCGUUCUCCCAUGAUCGUCUGAGGCGCCUGCUCUGCUGCUCAAG